UCUAGCUCCUGCUCAUAUGGAAAAGCAGCUUUUUCUAGCUUUGGCUUAUUUUGUACGAAAACGUUUUGCAAAACGGCUUUUCCUAGCUGCUUUUAAGAAUGUAAAGAUGUCAAAUGUCCAAAAUACCCUUAAAUUUUUUUUCUCUUUUCUCUUUUCUUUUUUCUCUUCAUUUUCCUUUUCUUUUUCUUUCCUUUUUUAUUUCUCUUUCCUUCUCCCCUUCUUUUCUUUUUCCCUCCUCUCUCCUUAUCCGAUCCCAGCCAACCCCU
Molecule: long non-coding RNA, 266 nt
Filed under: Setaria viridis
Lineage: Eukaryota; Viridiplantae; Streptophyta; Magnoliopsida; Poales; Poaceae
Description: long non-coding RNA (SVIR_LNC001300)
Source: RNAcentral